ACAUGUGAGUUAAAUGCCAUAAAUGCAUGAGAUCACAUCUGAUCUUGGAAGCUAAGUAGGGCCAACCCAGGUUAGUACUUGGAUGGGAGACCACCAAUGAAUUCCAGGUGCUAUAAGCU
RNAcentral lists this ribosomal RNA (119 nucleotides) under Anolis carolinensis (green anole). Lineage: Eukaryota; Metazoa; Chordata; Lepidosauria; Squamata; Anolidae. The record is from RNAcentral.